UUUUUUGUCAUCUGUAUUAACAUUAAAACCAAAAUUACAAAGGCUAAAGUCAAAGACAACAAGCCCAAAGGCAAAAGGAAAAAGCCACGCGAGGCCCACAAACCCAAAUAAAAAAGAAGCCCUAGGAAGAAAGUAAGCGACUCCACGCGUUAACUGAUAGCGUGGCAGGGACACGUGCCCACCUUGCGAGUCACCACCGACUUCAGCGACAAGAUCGACUCCGACGAAGCUCUAGUCGGCGAAUCCACCAGAAACAAACCGGAACAGGAUACCGUUCGAAGAGACUCGGUGGAAACGAUAGAAGGAGAUGAAAGCGCCACCAUUUACACCGCUUUAGACUUUCGAAAACUGAAGUUUUUAGAUUGAACAAAUCAAACCAUCAAUCCUCCUCCGAAAGCCACCUGAGCAACGAAAUAGAGUUCCAAUCAAAACGAUCGAUCUCAAACCAGCCGAGAGGAAACUGAUUGAAACAGGGAAGACGCGAAAAAGCAGAGAUCACCAAACCCAGGAAAGCCCUGGAGAUAAAUGCCAUCUACGCCAUAAGAGAACGCUUGAGGCGAAGCCAAGAGCCGACGAGUACACCGGAGCCGCUGGUGUGUCUUCGGAGCCAAAAGCCAACGGCGUCACCAAAAGAAGAGCCCGCCGUCGGAGACAUAAGCCAGCCAAUCGAUGUUGAAGAAACCAUCGACUGCCGGAACAGACUCUCGCUCUGCGGAACCACCGUCUCACUCUCUCUGUGAAAGAUCUAGAGAGAGAACGGAGAGAGGGGAGAAGUGAUAGAAGCAACUAAAUUAAUAUGUUUUAAAAAUAAAUAAAUUACACAAAAAAAAAAAAAAGGGAGAAAGAUCGUAGGAAAUAUUUUAUGUGGUUUUUUUUUUUUUUUUUUUUUAACUUGGUUGGGC
This 902-nucleotide long non-coding RNA is filed under the name Brassica napus (rape). RNAcentral's name for it is "long non-coding RNA (BNAP_LNC024913)". Lineage: Eukaryota; Viridiplantae; Streptophyta; Magnoliopsida; Brassicales; Brassicaceae. The record is from RNAcentral.